Molecule: ribosomal RNA, 654 nt
Filed under: uncultured archaeon
Lineage: Archaea
Description: bacterial SSU rRNA
Rfam family: Archaeal small subunit ribosomal RNA
Source: RNAcentral
GCCUAAAGCGUCCGUAGCCUGUUCUAUAAGUUUCCGGUUAAAUCCAUUAGCUCAACUAAUGGGCCGCCGAAAAUACUGUGGAACUAGGGAGUGGGAGAGGUAGACGGUAUUCGGUAGGAAGGGGUAAAAUCCUUUGAUCUAUCGAGGACCACCUGUGGCGAAGGCGGUCUACCAGAACACGUUCGACGGUGAGGGAUGAAAGCUGGGGGAGCAAACCGGAUUAGAUACCCGGGUAGUCCCAGCUGUAAACUAUGCAAACUCAGUGAUGCAUUGGCUUGUGGCCAGUGCAGUGCCGCAGAGAAGUCGUUAAGUUUGCCGCCUGGGAAGUACGUACGCAAGUAUGAAACUUAAAGGAAUUGGCGGGGGAGCACCACAAGGGGUGAAGCCUGCGGUUCAAUUGGAGUCAACGCCAGAAAUCUUACCCGGAGAGACAGCAGAAUGAAGGUCAAGUUGAAGCCUUUACCAGACAAGCUGAGAAGUGGUGCAUGGCCGUCGCCAGCUCGUGCCGUGAGGUGUCCUGUUAAGUCAGGUAACGAGCGAGAUCCUUGCCUCUAGUUGCUACCAUUACUCUCAGGAGUAGUGGGGCGAAUUAGCGGGACUGCCGUAGUUAAUACGGAGGAAGGAGAGGGCCACGGCAGGUCAGUAUGCCCCGAA